AUAAUGGGUCAGCGACUUAUAUUCUGUAGCAAGGUUAACCGAAUAGGGGAGCCGAAGGGAAACCGAGUCUUAACUGGGCGUUAAGUUGCAGGGUAUAGACCCGAAACCCGGUGAUCUAGCCAUGGGCAGGUUGAAGGUUGGGUAACACUAACUGGAGGACCGAACCGACUAAUGUUGAAAAAUUAGCGGAUGACUUGUGGCUGGGGGUGAAAGGCCAAUCAAACCGGGAGAUAGCUGGUUCUCCCCGAAAGCUAUUUAGGUAGCGCCUCGUGAAUUCAUCUCCGGGGGUAGAGCACUGUUUCGGCAAGGGGGUCAUCCCGACUUACCAACCCGAUGCAAACUGCGAAUACCGGAGAAUGUUAUCACGGGAGACACACGGCGGGUGCUAACGUCCGUCGUGAAGAGGGAAACAACCCAGACCGCCAGCUAAGGUCCCAAAGUCAUGGUUAAGUGGGAAACGAUGUGGGAAGGCCCAGACAGCCAGGAUGUUGGCUUAGAAGCAGCCAUCAUUUAAAGAAAGCGUAAUAGCUCACUGGUCGAGUCGGCCUGCGCGGAAGAUGUAACGGGGCUAAACCAUGCACCGAAGCUGCGGCAGCGACGCUGAUGCGUUGUUGGGUAGGGGAGCGUUCUGUAAGCCUGCGAAGGUGUGCUGUGAGGCAUGCUGGAGGUAUCAGAAGUGCGAAUGCUGACAUAAGUAACGAUAAAGCGGGUGAAAAGCCCGCUCGCCGGAAGACCAAGGGUUCCUGUCCAACGUUAAUCGGGGCAGGGUGAGUCGACCCCUAAGGCGAGGCCGAAAGGCGUAGUCGAUGGGAAACAGGUUAAUAUUCCUGUACUUGGUGUUACUGCGAAGGGGGGACGGAG
This 861-nucleotide ribosomal RNA is filed under the name Escherichia coli. RNAcentral's name for it is "partial 23S ribosomal RNA". It matches the Rfam family "Bacterial large subunit ribosomal RNA", at positions 612 to 1477 of the family's 2925-position model. The record is from RNAcentral. Lineage: Bacteria; Pseudomonadati; Pseudomonadota; Gammaproteobacteria; Enterobacterales; Enterobacteriaceae.